UACGAAGGGGGCACGCGUUGUUCGGAUUCAUUGGGCGUAAAGGGUGCGUAGGCGGCGCGGUAAGUCGGGUGUGAAAUCUCGGAGCUUAACUCCGAAACUGCAUUCGAUACUGCCGUGCUUGAGGACUGGAGAGGAGACUGGAAUUUACGGUGUAGCGGUGAAAUGCGUAGAUAUCGUAAGGAAGACCAGUGGCGAAGGCGGGUCUCUGGACAGUUCCUGACGCUGAGGCACGAAGGCCAGGGGAGCAAACGGG
RNAcentral lists this ribosomal RNA (253 nucleotides) under uncultured bacterium. RNAcentral's name for it is "partial 16S ribosomal RNA". It matches the Rfam family "Bacterial small subunit ribosomal RNA", at positions 524 to 776 of the family's 1533-position model. The record is from RNAcentral.